AUUGAACGCUGGCGGCAGGCCUAACACAUGCAAGUCGAGCGGAUGAAGGGAGCUUGCGCCUGGAUUCAGCGGCGGACGGGUGAGUAAUGCCUAGGAAUCUGCCUGGUAGUGGGGGAUAACGUCCGGAAACGGGCGCUAAUACCGCAUACGUCCUGAGGGAGCAAGUGGGGGGUCUUCGGACCUCACGCUAUCAGAUGAGCCUAGGUCGGAUUAGCUAGUUGGUGGGGUAAAGGCCUACCAAGGCGACGAUCCGUAACUGGUCUGAGAGGAGGAUCAGUCACACUGGAACUGAGACACGGUCCAGAGUCCUACGGGAGGCAGCAGUGGGGAAUAUUGGACAGAGGGCGAAAGCCUGACCCAGCCAUGCCGCGUGUGUGAAGAAGGUCUUCGGAUUGUAAAGCACUUUAAGUUGGGAGGAAGGGCAGUAAGUUAAUACCUUGCUGUUUUGACGUUACCAACAGAAUAAGCACCGGCUAACUUCGUG
RNAcentral lists this ribosomal RNA (484 nucleotides) under uncultured bacterium. RNAcentral describes it as "partial 16S ribosomal RNA". It matches the Rfam family "Bacterial small subunit ribosomal RNA", at positions 30 to 507 of the family's 1533-position model. The record is from RNAcentral.